This 681-nucleotide ribosomal RNA is filed under the name Triticum aestivum (bread wheat). RNAcentral describes it as "partial small subunit ribosomal RNA". Lineage: Eukaryota; Viridiplantae; Streptophyta; Magnoliopsida; Poales; Poaceae. The record is from RNAcentral.
AUGGUUAGGAGUGUACCGAUUGGUGAGAAGCUCUACAUAGGAGGAGACCUCAAUGGCCACGUGGGUACAUCUAACACAGGUUUUGAAGGGGCGCACGGGGGCUUUGGCUAUGGCAUUAGGAAUCAAGAAGGAGAAGAUGUCUUAAGCUUUGCUCUAGCCUACAACAUGAUUGUUGCUAACACCCUCUUUAGAAAGAGAGAAUCACAUCUGGUGACUUUUAGUAGUGGCCAACACUCUAGCCAGAUUGAUUUCAUCCUCUCGAGAAGAGAAGAUAGGCGUGCGUGCCUAGAUUGUAAGGUGAUACCUGGAGAGAGUGUUGUACCCCAGCAUAAGCUGGUGGUUGCUGACUUCCGCUUUCGGAUUCGUGUUCAGCGGGAUAAGCGUGCCAAAGUCGCUAGAACAAAGUGGUGGAAGCUCAAGGGGGAGGUAGCUCAAGUGUUCAAGGAGAGGGUCAUUAAGGAGGGCCCUUGGGAGGAAGGAGGGGAUGCGGACAAUGUGUGGACGAAGAUGGCGACUUGCAUUCGUAAGGUGGCCUCGGAGGAGUUUGGAGUGUCCAGGGGAAGGAGAAGCGAAGAUAAGGAUACCUGGUGGUGGAAUGAUGAUGUCCAGAAGGCAAUUAAAGAGAAGAAAGAUUGCUUCAGACGCCUAUACCUGGAUAGGAGUGCAGACAACAUAGAGAAG